Dreissena polymorpha is the source of this 1106-nucleotide long non-coding RNA. RefSeq lists it as uncharacterized. The record is from RefSeq and is a predicted model, not a curated record. The transcript is spliced from 9 exons. Lineage: Eukaryota; Metazoa; Mollusca; Bivalvia; Myida; Dreissenidae.
AGAUUGGAGACUACAUAAGACUUUGACAGAUGGCGGGAAACCCUCAUGAACUGGAUAGAAGCCGGUAGAGGAAUGUCUGCGACUAAGCCGAGGGCCACUGGAUAAGGGUUGUUGAUGGCAAAACAGGUAGAGGAAUGUCUGCGACUAAGCCGAGGGCCACUGGAUAAGGGUUGUUGAUGGCAAAACAGGUUAAAGACUACAUGAGACUUUGACAGAUGGCGGGAAACCCUCAUCCACUGGUAGAGGAAUGUCUGCGACUAAGCCGAGGGCCACUGGAUAAGGGUUGUUGAUGGCAAAACAGGUUAAAGACUACAUGAGACUUUGACAGAUGGCGGGAAACCCUCAUCCACUGGUACGAACCCGGUAGAGGAAUGUCUGCGACUAAGCCGAGGGCCACUGGAUAAGGGUUGUUGAUGGCAAAACAGGUAGAGGAAUGUCUGCGACUAAGCCGAGGGCCACUGGAUAAGGGUUGUUGAUGGCAAAACAGGUUAAAGACUACAUGAGACUUUGACAGAUGGCGGGAAACCCUCAUCCACUGGUACGAACCCGGUAAAUUGAUGGCUGUAAAACAGUGACCGCUGAUUCGCAUCGAGUUCUUUCUUGCAAAACGCAUGACCCCCCCUUUUUUAUUGUCUAAAUCAUUGCGGCUUGGAAUGCUCUUUAAGAAAAGGUAUGGUUAUGGGGGUCUCUAUGCGCAAAAGUUUGACUUUAUUUUUUGUUGAAGUUAUUGCUUUUACAUUGAAUUUGUGUAGGAAAUCUUUUGGUAUAUUGUAACCUAAACUAGCUUUAGGUAAAAAUGAAAUAUCAUCUGCAAGUGCAAAAUAUGACUGGGAAAGCUGAUUUUUGGUCAUUUCUUAACAAAAGAGAAGAAAAUAAGUGCCUUAAAUGCAUGAAUUCAGAUAAUUUGACCUGGAAUAGUUGUUUUUCAAGUUGACCCCCCACCCUGAUAUACCCAAAUAAGGGCUAAAUUGCUUUCCGACUUGAAUUCAAAGGCAUAUUGGUUGACCGUGUAGCGUUAGUGUGCUACAUGAAGUCAGAAUUCAACGCCAGGGACUCCGUGAUCCAGUAACGCAACAAUAGCUUGUGCAUAAAGCAUGAACAUUCAA